Molecule: ribosomal RNA, 598 nt
Filed under: Schizosaccharomyces pombe (fission yeast)
Lineage: Eukaryota; Fungi; Ascomycota; Schizosaccharomycetes; Schizosaccharomycetales; Schizosaccharomycetaceae
Description: partial large subunit ribosomal RNA
Rfam family: Eukaryotic large subunit ribosomal RNA
Source: RNAcentral
AAAAUAACCAUGAUUCCCUCAGUAACGGCGAGUGAAGCGGGAAAAGCUCAAAUUUGAAAUCUGUCAACAUUUCUUUUGUUGUCCGAGUUGUAAUUUCAAGAAGCUGCUUUGAGUGUAGACGAUCGGUCUAAGUUCCUUGGAACAGGACGUCAGAGAGGGUGAGAACCCCGUCUUUGGUCGAUUGGAUAUGCCAUAUAAAGCGCUUUCGAAGAGUCGAGUUGUUUGGGAAUGCAGCUCUAAAUGGGUGGUAAAUUUCAUCUAAAGCUAAAUAUUGGCGAGAGACCGAUAGCGAACAAGUAGAGUGAUCGAAAGAUGAAAAGAACUUUGAAAAGAGAGUUAAAUAGUACGUGAAAUUGCUGAAAGGGAAGCAUUGGAAAUCAGUCUUACCUGGGUGAGAUCAGUAGUCUCUUCGCGAGACUAUGCACUCUGAACCUGUGGUAGGUCAGCAUCAGUUUUCGGGGGCGGAAAAAGAAUAAGGGAAAGGUGGCUUUCCGGGUUCUGCCUGGGGAGUGUUUAUAGCCCUUGUUGUAAUACGUCCACUGGGGACUGAGGACUGCGGCUUCGUGCCAAGGAUGCUGACAUAAUGGUUUUCAAUGGC